CUGUAUUUGAGCCUGCAGCUGCUGCCUCUGCCCUUGAUCUGCCUGCUGACAUCAUCAGAAUUGGUGAUCUGUACCAAUCACAAUGCUUCCCCAAAAGGAUUGGCUGAGACAGUCAAGGAGGCAGAGCCAGCGUUUACUGCAAAAAGCCUGAAAGGAAUGAUUCUACUCACUAGAACAUAUACAAUGAGCUGUAAUUGAUCUGGUAACUAUAGUGUCUCUUUAAUAAUGGUUUCAAAACAAACAAUUCAAAUUUUUACAUUUAAAUCUCAUUUUUAUUGACAGAAUAUACACAGAAAUACUAUUUAUUGAAGGCAGAAGCCCC
Non-coding RNA from Pelobates cultripes (western spadefoot toad), 322 nucleotides. NCBI's taxonomy places the organism in Eukaryota, Metazoa, Chordata, Amphibia, Anura, Pelobatidae. The record is from the annotation of a GenBank genome assembly.